This 253-nucleotide ribosomal RNA is filed under the name uncultured bacterium. RNAcentral's name for it is "partial 16S ribosomal RNA". It matches the Rfam family "Bacterial small subunit ribosomal RNA", at positions 524 to 776 of the family's 1533-position model. The record is from RNAcentral.
UACGUAGGGGGCAAGCGUUGUCCGGAAUCAUUGGGCGUAAAGAGCGCGUAGGCGGCCCGGUAAGUCCGCUGUAAAAGUCCAGGGCUCAACCCUGGAAAGCCGGUGGAUACUGUCGGGCUAGAGUCCGGAAGAGGCGAGUGGAAUUCCUGGUGUAGCGGUGGAAUGCGCAGAUAUCAGGAGGAACACCGAUGGCGAAGGCAGCUCGCUGGGACGGUACUGACGCUGAGGCGCGGAAGCGGGGGGAGCGAACAGG